Long non-coding RNA from Coregonus clupeaformis (lake whitefish), 1878 nucleotides. RefSeq lists it as uncharacterized. The transcript is spliced from 3 exons. Lineage: Eukaryota; Metazoa; Chordata; Actinopteri; Salmoniformes; Salmonidae. The record is from RefSeq and is a predicted model, not a curated record.
UUGUGAAAAACUGAGUUUAAAUGUAUUUGGCUAAGGUGUAUGUAAACUUCCGACUUCAACUGUAAAUCCUGUCCUGCUCUUAAACCCUGGCCUCCUCUUAAAUCCUGGCCAUUAAGCAAAUGGGCCAAAUGUAAAUGCCAUUCAUUCUAUGUGUAACUAAAGAGGACAUUAUAGUGCCACAUCCAUUGAUGUCAACUGGUUUAUACUGGUUUAAUAAGGAAGAAAUGGGAUGGUACAUGUGCCUGUGAUUAAUUUGGCUUUAAAAGGGCAUCUUAACAAAGUAGCCUUGAAUAUCUACAAGUAAAUGAUGUCAUGCUAAGAGUAUUUCCAAAUAUUUAUACAUUUUUCUGUCCAGCUGUGGUCUCGCAUAUUUUCCAUGUUAUACUGAAGACUAUUACAAGAACACCUGGGAUGUGUAUACACAUCCAUUACAGAAAUGGACAAAUAGACUCACAACUGUCUGUCUAUGACCAGAAGUGGUGGAUCAGUCUGUAAGAUGCACUGCGUGGUACAUGAAUAGUGCGUGCCUGCCUUUUGGUUUUUCAGUUCCUGCAGUUAAUUAUGGAAGCAUUUAGCUUCCGAAACGGAAUUGGAAAUACAAAUGGGCAAAUGACAAAUCAAUAUCAAGUGGAUAUGCGUUUCUUUGUGACAAAAUUUAAAAUGCAAAAAAAUAUAUAUUGCAUUAUCAUUUUCAUGAUUGAAUAUGGAUAAUGUCUGCCCAUUUGAAAAAUAAAUAGCAAAGUGUGUUUUUUAUAUCUCAAUUCCGUGGUACUAUCCAGUACAACACUGACACAUUUAAAAACUAAACUUAAACGCUUGAAUGACAUUUCUCAUGUUUGCCAUUUUAUUUCCUUGUGAUUAGCCUGAAUUGUGUCAAACUAAUUACAUUCUCAAUUGUCAAUUGAUAACGCCUUUCCAUAUUGUGUGUGGUUUUAUUAAGACUUUCGUUUCGUCAUUUGCGUUAUCGUUUUUGACUUGUUUUGAUCGUCAAACGGGGGUUUCGGUAACGUGAGGCGGAAGAGGUUGCCUGUGCUUGCUGGCACCGGUCACUUUCGGUCGGAGCAGUAUCGAACACUGAGGCAUAAGGUAUCGAUGUGGCGGGGUUUUGGGUUGUCCCGGCAACAACAACCAGUAUGAAAGUCCACAGGAAAAUGAAGAAGAACAGCCGGUGUGUGGGAGGGGACACUGGAGCUACUACUGGUUAGCUAAUAUGGCUAAUUGACUAUUUAUUAUAUGUAGCUAGCUACCUGUAGGCUAGAUAGCUAGCUGGCUAUGAAGAGGCACUACUGGCUAACGUUAGCAAGCUAGCCCACUGGCUACCUUCACAACAAAACAUCGUGGAACACCUUGAGGUACGGAGUUCCAGAUGUUUGCUGCAGGAGAGUAGUGGCGGACAACACCGGAGGGCAUCUUCAAUGAGCACAUGUACAAGCGGUUCGGGCUGAUGACCUGUCUCCGUAGCUGAUAGACACCGAGAAGGAAUAUCAUCCCCAACGAUACAACUAAUGUUUCUAACUGUACUAAUGAGGAAGAGGAGAGCCGGGCUUAUCCAUCGUCUCUGAACUGCUUGAAGUGUUCUGUCAAAAUUACAGUGCCACUUUUUGUUUACCGCUAGUCACAUGUUCAAUAAGAUGUUCUGCCAACGUAAUAACUACAGACGUGUUCUUGCUCUUCUGUAAGGUUCUAACAAUCAUAUGUUGAAAACCAUUAUCAAGGGAAACUUACAGUAGUUGAACACUUUGUAGACAGUAACCCGUUUUGUUGAACGCUAGUGAUUCUAAGAACAAUAGUAACUUACCUGUAGGACAAUGUCUCUAUCACAUGUCACUAAGGGUACAGUAAAGGUAUAUCCUUAAUAAAAUAAUUGUUGAUGGUUAA